RNAcentral lists this ribosomal RNA (301 nucleotides) under uncultured bacterium. RNAcentral describes it as "partial 16S ribosomal RNA". It matches the Rfam family "Bacterial small subunit ribosomal RNA", at positions 509 to 807 of the family's 1533-position model. The record is from RNAcentral.
CAGUCGCCGCGGGAAUACGGAGGGUGCAAGCGUUAAUCGGAAUUACUGGGCGUAAAGCGCACGCAGGCGGUUUGUUAAGUCAGAUGUGAAAUCCCCGAGCUUAACUUGGGAACUGCAUUUGAAACUGGCAAGCUAGAGUCUUGUAGAGGGGGGUAGAAUUCCAGGUGUAGCGGUGAAAUGCGUAGAGAUCUGGAGGAAUACCGGUGGCGAAGGCGGCCCCCUGGACAAAGACUGACGCUCAGGUGCGAAAGCGCGGGGAGCAAACAGGAUUAGAUACCCCUGUAGUCCCUGUCUCUUAUAC